RNAcentral lists this ribosomal RNA (255 nucleotides) under uncultured bacterium. RNAcentral describes it as "partial 16S ribosomal RNA". It matches the Rfam family "Bacterial small subunit ribosomal RNA", at positions 524 to 776 of the family's 1533-position model. The record is from RNAcentral.
UACGUAGGGUGCGAGCGUUAAUCGGAAUUACUGGGCGUAAAGGGUGCGCAGGCGGCCGAUCGCGGUUUGCGGUGAAAGCUCCCGGCUUACCUGGGAGAGGGCCGUGAAGACGGGUUGGCUUGAGGCUCGGGAGAGGGACGUGGAAUUCCGGGUGGAGUGGUGAAAUGCGUAGAGAUCCGGAGGAACACCGAAGGCGAAGGCAGUGUCCUGGCGAGUGACUGACGCUGAGGUGCGAAAGCCAGGGGAGCGAACGGG